ACAAGCGGUGGAGCAUGUGGUUUAAUUCGAAGCAACGCGAAGAACCUUACCAGGUCUUGACAUCCCCUGACAACCCGAGAGAUCGGGCGUUCCCCUUCGGGGGACAGGGUGACAGGUGGUGCAUGGUUGUCGUCAGCUCGUGUCGUGAGAUGUUGGGUUAAGUCCCGCAACGAGCGCAACCCUUGUCUUUAAUUGCCAUCAUUCAGUUGGGCACUUUAAAGAGACUGCCGGUGUUAAACCGGAGGAAGGUGGGGAUGACGUCAAGUCCUCAUGGCCUUUAUGCCCAGGGCUACACACGUGCUACAAUGGCCGGCACAGCGGGAAGCGAGGGGGCGACCUUGAGCGGAUCCCUCAAAGCCGGUCUCAGUUCGGAUUGCAGUCUGCAACUCGACUGCAUGAAGUUGGAAUCGCUAGUAAUCGUGGAUCAGCCAAGCCGCGGUGAAUACGUUCCCGGGCCUU
This 459-nucleotide ribosomal RNA is filed under the name uncultured bacterium. RNAcentral's name for it is "bacterial SSU rRNA". It matches the Rfam family "Bacterial small subunit ribosomal RNA", at positions 925 to 1382 of the family's 1533-position model. The record is from RNAcentral.